RNAcentral lists this unclassified non-coding RNA (380 nucleotides) under uncultured Micrococcales bacterium. Its description in RNAcentral is "contains 16S-23S intergenic spacer region". Lineage: Bacteria; Bacillati; Actinomycetota; Actinomycetes; Micrococcales. The record is from RNAcentral.
UCCAACUUGUCGCUGGCGGUCUCCUGCGAGUGCGGCUCCGAAGAGCUGGGCAACACAGGACGAGGGUUGCGCUCGUUGCGGGACUUAACCCAACAUCUCACGACACGAGCUGACGACAACCAUGCACCACCUGUGAACCGGCCCCUAAGGGGAGACCACAUCUCUGCAGCGGUCCGGUCCAUGUCAAGCCUUGGUAAGGUUCUUCGCGUUGCAUCGAAUUAAUCCGCAUGCUCCGCCGCUUGUGCGGGCCCCCGUCAAUUCCUUUGAGUUUUAGCCUUGCGGCCGUACUCCCCAGGCGGGGCGCUUAAUGCGUUAGCUACGGCGCGGAAAACGUGGAAUGUCCCCCACACCUAGUGCCCAACGUUUACGGCAUGGACUAC